GCAUACGGCCAUCGCUUGUAGAAAGCACGGGAUCGCGUCCGCUCUCCCUCAGUUAAGCUACAAGGCGCUAGAUCAGUACUACGCUGGGUGACCACGUGGGAAUUCCUAGUGCUGUAUGUA
This is a ribosomal RNA of Ceratocystis platani, 120 nucleotides long. The record is from Rfam. NCBI's taxonomy places the organism in Eukaryota, Fungi, Ascomycota, Sordariomycetes, Microascales, Ceratocystidaceae.